UUCUCACCGCAACCGCGCGAAUCAGGCAUUGAACAAGUUUGAAAAAACUGGCCUGCACAGGCGAGUCUAGGCAAUGGG
This is a regulatory RNA element of Desulfitobacterium metallireducens DSM 15288, 78 nucleotides long. NCBI's taxonomy places the organism in Bacteria, Bacillati, Bacillota, Clostridia, Eubacteriales, Desulfitobacteriaceae. The record is from Rfam.